This 407-nucleotide ribosomal RNA is filed under the name uncultured bacterium. RNAcentral describes it as "bacterial SSU rRNA". It matches the Rfam family "Bacterial small subunit ribosomal RNA", at positions 355 to 776 of the family's 1533-position model. The record is from RNAcentral.
UGGGGGAUAUUGCACAAUGGAGGAAACUCUGAUGCAGCAACGCCGCGUGAAGGAAGAAGGUUUUCGGAUCGUAAACUUCUGUCCUUGGGGAAGAAGAAAGUGACGGUACCCAUGGAGGAAGCCACGGCUAACUACGUGCCAGCAGCCGCGGUAAUACGUAGGUGGCAAGCGUUGUCCGGAUUUACUGGGUGUAAAGGGCGUGUAGGCGGGUUUUUAAGUUAGAUGUGAAAUACCGGGGCUCAACCCCGGGGCUGCAUUUAAAACUGAAGAUCUUGAGUACCGGAGAGGAAAGCGGAAUUCCUAGUGUAGCGGUGAAAUGCGUAGAUAUUAGGAGGAACACCAGUGGCGAAGGCGGCUUUCUGGACGGCAACUGACGCUGAGGCGCGAAAGCGUGGGGAGCAAACAGG